Molecule: small RNA, 489 nt
Filed under: uncultured Gigaspora
Lineage: Eukaryota; Fungi; Glomeromycota; Glomeromycetes; Diversisporales; Gigasporaceae
Description: SSU rRNA
Rfam family: Eukaryotic small subunit ribosomal RNA
Source: RNAcentral
AGCAGCCGCGGUAAUUCCAGCUCCAAUAGCGUAUAUUAAAGUUGUUGCAGUUAAAAAGCUCGUAGUUGAAUUUCGGGGUUCUACCGUUGGUCAGGCUAUAGUCUGUACUGGCGUGUGGAAUUUCUACCUUCUGGGGAACUAUCAUGUUAUUAAUUUAGCGUGGUAGGAAACCAGAACCUUUACCUUGAAAAAAUUAGAGUGUUCAAAGCAGGCUUACGUCUGAAUACAUUAGCAUGGAAUAAUAAAAUAGGACGGUGGUCCUGUUUUGUUGGUUUCUGAAUCACCGUAAUGAUUAAUAGGGAUAGUUGGGGGCAUUAGUAUUCAAUUGUCAGAGGUGAAAUUCUUGGAUUUAUUGAAGACUAACUUCUGCGAAAGCAUUUGCCAAGGAUGUUUUCAUUAAUCAAGAACGAAAGUUAGGGGAUCGAAGACGAUCAGAUACCGUCGUAGUCUUAACCAUAAACUAUGCCGACUAGGAAUCGGACGUGUUAA